RNA transcript from Rosa rugosa (rugosa rose), 1191 nucleotides. It is a transcript of the gene named signal recognition particle subunit SRP54, chloroplastic-like, with no coding region annotated. The transcript has 8 exons. The record is from RefSeq and is a predicted model, not a curated record. NCBI's taxonomy places the organism in Eukaryota, Viridiplantae, Streptophyta, Magnoliopsida, Rosales, Rosaceae.
AGGAAGAACGUGUAUAUGGUGUUGAAGAAGUGUGAGCCCUUCACCAUGGUCACCUCCUUGGACUCGACCUUGGCCGCGAUGGUCGCCGCCCAUUUCCUCAUCUCCGCAUGUGCAGGUAUCCUGAUCCUUUCAGCGCCUCUCUCUCUGUUGCGGUCACCAAGAUGAAGUUCAACAUCGCCAGCCCCGCCACUGGUUGCCAUAAGAAGAUGGUGAUCGAUGUCAACUACUGUCAAAUUCUGCAAGUCAUUAUCUGUACAUCUGAUCAGGCAACUCUAUUGUUUUCCUUCCAUGUCACAAUUGAUCUUUUGGGUUAAUUAAUUUGCUCCUUGCAAUGUUUAUUCAAGUGUCUGUUAUGAUGUAGAUUGUUGAAGACAUCUUUUGUUAUGAACUUUGAUCAUAUGAAAGCCUGGGUCGUAACUCCUCGGCGUUGUGCUUCUGCAAAUUGGAUUUCGAGAUGGAUUUGAAGGUGGAAAUUGGAGAUGGAAUUGCAACUGGGUUUUCAACACAAUAGAGCUUCCCAGCAUCUGAAGCUUGCAAUCAGCUUUAUGCUCUCAUUCCAUGAAAACAAAUUGGCGGUUUUGACAAGAGUAUUAGCCAAGGCUUGUGGUGGUGCACAUUGGGUAAAAGUGCCUGUAUAUACAGCAGGGACUGACACCAAACCUUCACAAAUAGCUAGGCAAGGUUUAGAGGAGGCCAAAAAGAAGAACAUAGAUGUAGUAAUAAUGGAUACUGCUGGAAGGCUUCAGAUCGACAAAGUACUGAUAGAUGAGUUGAAAGAAGUAAAGCGGGAAUUGAACCCCACAGAAACUUUACUUGUUGUGGAUGCAAUGACUGGCCAGGAAGCUGCAGCCCUGGUCACAACAUUCAAUGUAGAGAUUGGGAUUGCUGGCACUAUUUUAACAAAGCUGGAUGGAGAUUCUAGAGGUGGAGCAGCUUAGAGUGUUAAAGAGGUGUAAAGCAAGGACAGCAGCUACAGUCAAAGUUCCAGAGUUUCAAUUUGAGGUGAGAAGGAAUUAUAGAGACCACAUACCUUCAAGAAGAAGUCAAUGAAGUCCAUGAUGGGAAGAAUUCGUUAGCGAUAAGUAUCUUUAGACUUUUACAAUGUGGAUCUUCAUCAAUUCUGUGAUUUAACUCUGUACCUAGUGAAACUUCUUUAAUUUGUAGCAAAAUUUACCUUUUCCAUUACAAGUA